Molecule: ribosomal RNA, 1373 nt
Filed under: uncultured bacterium
Lineage: Bacteria
Description: bacterial SSU rRNA
Rfam family: Bacterial small subunit ribosomal RNA
Source: RNAcentral
GAUGAACGCUGGCGGCGUGCCUAAUACAUGCAAGUCGAGCGAACGGACGAGAAGCUUGCUUCUCUGAUGUUAGCGGCGGACGGGUGAGUAACACGUGGAUAACCUACCUAUAAGACUGGGAUAACUUCGGGAAACCGGAGCUAAUACCGGAUAAUAUUUUGAACCGCAUGGUUCAAAAGUGAAAGACGGUCUUGCUGUCACUUAUAGAUGGAUCCGCGCUGCAUUAGCUAGUUGGUAAGGUAACGGCUUACCAAGGCAACGAUGCAUAGCCGACCUGAGAGGGUGAUCGGCCACACUGGAACUGAGACACGGUCCAGACUCCUACGGGAGGCAGCAGUAGGGAAUCUUCCGCAAUGGGCGAAAGCCUGACGGAGCAACGCCGCGUGAGUGAUGAAGGUCUUCGGAUCGUAAAACUCUGUUAUUAGGGAAGAACAUAUGUGUAAGUAACUGUGCACAUCUUGACGGUACCUAAUCAGAAAGCCACGGCUAACUACGUGCCAGCAGCCGCGGUAAUACGUAGGUGGCAAGCGUUAUCCGGAAUUAUUGGGCGUAAAGCGCGCGUAGGGCGGUUUUUUAAGUCUGAUGUGAAAGCCCACGGCUCAACCGUGGAGGGUCAUUGGAAACUGGAAAACUUGAGUGCAGAAGAGGAAAGUGGAAUUCCAUGUGUAACGGUGAAAUGCGCAGAGAUAUGGAGGAACACCAGUGGCGAAGGCGACUUUCUGGUCUGUAACUGACGCUGAUGUGCGAAAGCGUGGGGAUCAAACAGGAUUAGAUACCCUGGUAGUCCACGCCGUAAACGAUGAGUGCUAAGUGUUAGGGGGUUUCCGCCCCUUAGUGCUGCAGCUAACGCAUUAAGCACUCCGCCUGGGGAGUACGACCGCAAGGUUGAAACUCAAAGGAAUUGACGGGGACCCGCACAAGCGGUGGAGCAUGUGGUUUAAUUCGAAGCAACGCGAAGAACCUUACCAAAUCUUGACAUCCUUUGACAACUCUAGAGAUAGAGCUUUCCCCUUCGGGGGACAAAGUGACAGGUGGUGCAUGGUUGUCGUCAGCUCGUGUCGUGAGAUGUUGGGUUAAGUCCCGCAACGAGCGCAACCCUUAAGCUUAGUUGCCAUCAUUAAGUUGGGCACUCUAAGUUGACUGCCGGUGACAAACCGGAGGAAGGUGGGGAUGACGUCAAAUCAUCAUGCCCCUUAUGAUUUGGGCUACACACGUGCUACAAUGGACAAUACAAAGGGCAGCGAAACCGUGAGGUCAAGCAAAUCCCAUAAAGUUGUUCUCAGUUCGGAUUGUAGUCUGCAACUCGACUACAUGAAGCUGGAAUCGCUAGUAAUCGUAGAUCAGCAUGCUACGGUGAAUACGUUCCCGGGUCU